AUGUCCAGAAAUGCCCCAAACAUCCCCAAAUUUGCCCGAAACGCUCUCAGUGCCGUUUCUGUGCCCAGAGCUGCUCUGCAGCUGGACCUGGGCAAGGCUGGGCUGCUCGGUGCUGCUGGCACCCCAAAAACCAUCCCUAAAAUGUCCCCAAAUGUUCCUAAACAUCCCCAAAAUGUCCCAAAUGUCCCCAAACAUCCCCAAACAUCCCCAAAAUGUCCCAACUGCCAUUUCUGUGCCCCAGAGCUGCUGUUUGGCCAGGCCCGUGCUGCGGCGCCCUGGCCAGUGCACGGCGUGCUCGGUGCUGCUGUCACCCCAAAAACCAUCCCAAAAUGCCCCCAAACAUCCCCAAAAUGUCCCCAAAAUGUCCCCAGAUGUCCCCAAAUGUCCCCAACUCCCAUUUCUGUGCCCCAGAGCUGCUGUUUAGCCAGGACCGUGCCGCGGCAUCCCGGCCGGUGCACGGCGUGUUCAGUGCUGCUGUCACCCCAAAAACCAUCCCUAAAAUGUCCCCAAAUGUUCCUAAACAUCCCCAAAAUGUCCCCAAACAUCCCCAAAUGUUCCCAAAUGUCCCCAGCUCCAUUUCUGUGCCCAGAGCUGCUGUUCGGCCAGGCCCGUGCCUGGCAUGCUCGGUGCUGCUGUCACCCCAAAAACCAUCCCCAAAAUGUCCCCAAACAUCCCCAAAUGUUCCCAAACAUCCCAAAAAUGUUCCCAAACAUCCCCAAAUGUCCCAACUGCCAUUUCUGUGCCCCAGAGCUGCUGUUUGGUCAGGCCCGUGCCGCGGCGCCCCGGCCGGUGCACGGUGUGCUCGGUGCUGCUGUCACCCCAAAACCGUCCCCCAAAUGUCCCAAACAUCCCCAAACAUCCUCAAAUAUCCCCAAAUGUUUCCAAAAUGUCCCGAAAAUGUCCCCAUCUCCCAUUUCUGUGCCCAGAGCUGCUGUUCGGCCAGGCCCGUGCCGCGGCGCCCCGGCCGGUGCACGGCGUGCUCGGCGGCUCGGUGCUGCUGUCGCCGGCGCUGCCGCCCAACCGGACGGUGAAGGAGAUCGAGUGGAGCUUCUCGGCGGGCACCGGUGCCACCAUCCAGGUGGCCGAGGUGGGCCCGGGCGGCUUCGAGCGGCCGGACCCGCGGGACCGUUUCGGCGGGCGCCUGGAGCCCGUCAACGGCACGGCGCUGCGGCUGCGGCAGCUGCAGCGCGGCGACAGCGGCGUCUUCGCGGCCCGCAUCAAGCUGCAGCCGGCCCUGGUGGAUGA
Molecule: long non-coding RNA, 1245 nt
Filed under: Taeniopygia guttata (zebra finch)
Lineage: Eukaryota; Metazoa; Chordata; Aves; Passeriformes; Estrildidae
Description: lncRNA (ENSTGUG00000029139.1)
Source: RNAcentral